AUGUUAUCAAAUAGUGCCAACAAUAGCCAGGGAUCAACUCUCAUCUGUAAGGCCCUGUUUCACACUGUAGACUCACAAGAACACUUUACUGGUAUUUUUAUAUUUAUGGCCUCUAUCACACAGAGAUCUGCCUUAUACACUGUAUUAUCUAUUAUUCCAGAUGCGACUGCCUUCUCUUUCUGUGUAACACUGCAAUAUUUUUUUUGUUUAUCUGCUGAGAUCUGCUUCUCUAUGCAGUGCAUUCCCUCAUCACAGUUACUCAGCAUACAGUCUAUUGGGGUGAUUCUCGAAAUCCAAAGAUAUGAUUUAAAACUUAGCAUUUUGUUUUGCUGUAAGAUACUACUAUCCAAUAAAUAG
RNAcentral lists this ribosomal RNA (357 nucleotides) under Triticum aestivum (bread wheat). RNAcentral describes it as "partial small subunit ribosomal RNA". The record is from RNAcentral. Lineage: Eukaryota; Viridiplantae; Streptophyta; Magnoliopsida; Poales; Poaceae.